GAAACUUCGGUCGAUUUAAUUUAAUUCUAGUGGCGGACGGGUGAGUAACGCGUGGGUAACCUGCCUUGUACAGGGGGAUAACAGUCAGAAAUGACUGCUAAUACCGCAUAAGCGCACAGGACCGCAUGGUCCGGUGUGAAAAACUCCGGUGGUAUAAGAUGGACCCGCGUUGGAUUAGCUUGUUGGUGGGGUAACGGCCCACCAAGGCGACGAUCCAUAGCCGGCCUGAGAGGGUGAACGGCCACAUUGGGACUGAGACACGGCCCAGACUCCUACGGGAGGCAGCAGUGGGGAAUAUUGCACAAUGGGGGAAACCCUGAUGCAGCGACGCCGCGUGAAGGAAGAAGUAUCUCGGUAUGUAAACUUCUAUCAGCAGGGAAGAAAAUGACGGUACCUGACUAAGAAGCCCCGGCUAACUACGUGCCAGCAGCCGCGGUAAUACGUAGGGGGCAAGCGUUAUCCGGAUUUACUGGGUGUAAAGGGAGCGUAGACGGAUGGACAAGUCUGAUGUGAAAGGCUGGGGCUCAACCCCGGGACUGCAUUGGAAACUGCCCGUCUUGAGUGCCGGAGAGGUAAGCGGAAUUCCUAGUGUAGCGGUGAAAUGCGUAGAUAUUAGGAGGAACACCAGUGGC
Molecule: ribosomal RNA, 632 nt
Filed under: uncultured Lachnospiraceae bacterium
Lineage: Bacteria; Bacillati; Bacillota; Clostridia; Lachnospirales; Lachnospiraceae
Description: bacterial SSU rRNA
Rfam family: Bacterial small subunit ribosomal RNA
Source: RNAcentral